UGUAGUUGGAGCCGUGCACUCGGGCCAAUAGUAAUCGUACGACGUCGUCGGGAACAUCGUGCGCUCUUCAUCGUUAGUAUCGUCGCGGUGCUCCGUCUUCGCACGACCCGUAACGUCACACGAACAUAAGACCAACGUAUCCGGCAAGCAAUUAGCGUGGGUUGACCGCCAGUUUGCGCGAUCAAUCUCAUUUGCGUGCGUUCCCCUUAAAACAACGAGCUCUCCGCGAUCGAACGCGUGACCAAGUCUCUUCUCAUACUCACGUUUAAAGGUCGCGCGGAAGGCUGCAACUCUUCUUCGGUACCCGGACCCCGCAGCGGAACCCGCGCAGGAAGAGCGGCGACUCGGCUGGCAGGCGCCUUCGAGGCAAUUCUUUGCCGAGAGCGCAUCCAUCUGAGUGGUGGAAAUUGUCAUCCUCAGUCAGCACGACGAUCGACUAGGUCGUUUCGAGUGGAAGACAACGUUGCGAACCAAACACGGCGGCGAAAGGUCACGUCAUGCCAGCAGGUACUGGCGCUUCGUACAGGUCGUUAAGCGACCUGGGCGAAGACGUUUACAAAAGUACGACCAUCGUCGACCAGACACAGACCACCAGCCAGAGCGUUCUCGAGUCCGUGAAGAAGGCGUUUAGCUUCGCCUCGCCGAAGGUUGAGAUCCGGAAGAAGGACCCGCUGAUCGAGGACCGUCGCGAGAGCGUCUCUAUUGUCUCAAGGGAGAGAAACAAGAUGCCGACAGCAGCCACUGCCGAGGAAUCUGCUCUGUUGGGCACGAUGCCUUCCGACAGCAUGGACGACAUCGAGCUGAAGAACAUUCAGCUGCAAUUUCCGGCACUGAGAUAUCUCUCCAGGGACGACAGCUCCGUGCGGGAAGAAAGAGUGGAAACUGACAAGGGAAGUUUGCUAGUGGCGGUGCAAGGAAAUCGAGCAAAACCAGCUAUACUCACUUAUCACGAUUUAGGCCUUAAUUACAUCUCGAGCUUCCAGGCAUUUUUCAAUUACAUCGACAUGCGUGUUCUACUCGAAAACUUUUGUGUAUAUCACGUAAAUGCACCCGGACAAGAGGAAGGCGCAUCGACGCUACCCGAAGAUUACACUUAUCCGUCCAUGGAAGAGCUGGCAGAACAGCUGCUCUUUGUUCUCGGUCAUUUUGCCAUAAGAUCCGUAAUUGGCUUCGGGGUUGGUGCCGGCGCUAAUAUCCUGGCAAGAUUCACACUUGCCCAUCCGGAAAAAGUUAAUGCACUGUGCCUGAUAAACUGCGUGUCCACACAGGCGGGAUGGAUCGAAUGGGGCUAUCAAAAAUUGAACGUGCGCCACCUGAGAUCACAGGGCAUGACCCAGGGCGUUCUCGAUUACUUGAUGUGGCAUCAUUUUGGCAGGGGGACCGAGGAUCGGAAUCAUGAUUUGGUGCAGGUAUACAAGAACUACUUUGAACGUCGCGUCAACCCGACGAAUCUCGCAUUAUUUAUCGACAGUUACGUUCGCCGUUCGGAUUUGAAUAUAACGAGGGAAUUGGACCCGAUGCGUAAAAGGGAGGGAUUGACACUCAGCGUGCCAGUGAUGAAUAUUACGGGCGCUCUAAGCCCUCACGUCGACGACACCGUAACGUUAAACGGACGCCUGGAUCCGACUAACAGCUCUUGGAUGAAAAUAUCGGAUUGCGGUAUGGUGCUGGAAGAACAACCGGGUAAAGUAAGCGAGGCGUUCCGACUGUUUCUUCAGGGCGAAGGAUAUGUGGUGAAAUCCCCGCGGAAGCCGUCCGUGAAGCCGACAACACCCGAAGGUAAUUGUAAUUAGGAAUUGAAGGCCGCAAGGAGAGUCGAGCGCGCAGUUGGUCAAUUAGGCCACGUCUAUAUGUUAAUACUUGGUAGUCGGUAGAGCAACGUACUGUUUGCAAUAUUAACAAGGACCGACCUGUUGCGCUA
RNAcentral lists this unclassified non-coding RNA (1921 nucleotides) under Ooceraea biroi (clonal raider ant). RNAcentral describes it as "protein NDRG3, transcript variant X9". Lineage: Eukaryota; Metazoa; Arthropoda; Insecta; Hymenoptera; Formicidae. The record is from RNAcentral.